AUUGAACGCUGGCGGCAGGCCUAACACAUGCAAGUCGAGCGGAUGAAGGGAGCUUGCUCCUGGAUUCAGCGGCGGACGGGUGAGUAAUGCCUAGGAAUCUGCCUGGUAGUGGGGGAUAACGUCCGGAAACGGGCGCUAAUACCGCAUACGUCCUGAGGGAGAAAGUGGGGGAUCUUCGGACCUCACGCUAUCAGAUGAGCCUAGGUCGGAUUAGCUAGUUGGUGGGGUAAAGGCCUACCAAGGCGACGAUCCGUAACUGGUCUGAGAGGAUGAUCAGUCACACUGGAACUGAGACACGGACCAGACUCCUACGGGAGGCAGCAGUGGGGAAUAUUGGACAAUGGGCGAAAGCCUGAUCCAGGCAUGCCGCGUGUGUGAAGAAGGUCUUCGGAUUGUAAAGCGUUGUAAGUUGGGAGGAAGGGCAGUAAGUUAAUACCUUGCUGUUUUGACGUUACCAACAGAAUAAGCACCGGCUAACUUCGUG
RNAcentral lists this ribosomal RNA (484 nucleotides) under uncultured bacterium. Its description in RNAcentral is "partial 16S ribosomal RNA". It matches the Rfam family "Bacterial small subunit ribosomal RNA", at positions 30 to 507 of the family's 1533-position model. The record is from RNAcentral.